UACAACUUUCAGCAACGGAUCUCUUGGCUCUCGCAUCGAUGAAGAACGCAGCGAAAUGCGAUAAGUAAUGUGAAUUGCAGAAUUCAGUGAAUCAUCGAAUCUUUGAACGCACCUUGCGCUCCUUGGUAUUCCGAGGAGCAUGCCUGUUUGAGUGUCAUGA
This 160-nucleotide ribosomal RNA is filed under the name Ganoderma lucidum. RNAcentral describes it as "5.8S ribosomal RNA". It matches the Rfam family "5.8S ribosomal RNA". From Rfam's summary of the family: 5.8S ribosomal RNA (5.8S rRNA) is a component of the large subunit of the eukaryotic ribosome. RNAcentral also lists the same sequence under 1 other name. The record is from RNAcentral. Lineage: Eukaryota; Fungi; Basidiomycota; Agaricomycetes; Polyporales; Polyporaceae.